This 250-nucleotide unclassified non-coding RNA is filed under the name Glomeraceae sp. RNAcentral describes it as "partial contains 5.8S ribosomal RNA and internal transcribed spacer 2". The stretch from base 1 to 71 matches the Rfam family "5.8S ribosomal RNA", at positions 84 to 154 of the family's 154-position model. Lineage: Eukaryota; Fungi; Glomeromycota; Glomeromycetes; Glomerales; Glomeraceae. The record is from RNAcentral.
GUGAAUCAUCAAAUUUUUGAACGCAAAUUGCACUCCCUGGUAUUCCGGAGAGUAUGCCUGUUUGAGGGUCAGUUUAAAUAAAAAUCGGUGUGUUUGCUGCCUUUCGUGGUUUCGCACCGGAUUUGGGUCGUCUUGCCUUCGUUUAAGUGACCCAAAAUUUUGCAUUAUUUUUUUCGAACGUAUUUAAAUGAUUUUACUUACGUUUGUGAUAUCUAUUACUAGGUGUGGUCAUCCUCACGAUUCGCGCCUA